RNAcentral lists this ribosomal RNA (468 nucleotides) under uncultured bacterium. RNAcentral describes it as "partial 16S ribosomal RNA". It matches the Rfam family "Bacterial small subunit ribosomal RNA", at positions 28 to 507 of the family's 1533-position model. The record is from RNAcentral.
GACGAACGCUGGCGGCGUGCUUAACACAUGCAAGUCGAACGGAAAGGCCCUGCUUUUGUGGGGUGCUCGAGUGGCGAACGGGUGAGUAACAAGUGAGUAACCUGCCCUUGACUUUGGGGUAACUUCAGGAAACUGGGGCUAAUACCGGAUAGGAGCUCCUGCUGCAUGGUGGGGGUUGGAAAGUUUCGGCGGUUGGGGAUGGACUCGCGGCUUAUCAGCUUGUUGGUGGGGUAGUGGCUUACCAAGGCUUUGACGGGUAGCCGGCCUGAGAGGGUGACCGGCCACAUUGGGACUGAGAUACGGCCCAGACUCCUACGGGAGGCAGCAGUGGGGAAUAUUGCACAAUGGGCGGAAGCCUGAUGCAGCAACGCCGCGUGCGGGAUGACGGCCUUCGGGUUGUAAACCGCUUUCGCCUGUGACGAAGCGUGAGUGACGGUAAUGGGUAAAGAAGCACCGGCUAACUACGUG